Long non-coding RNA from Felis catus (domestic cat), 9129 nucleotides. RefSeq lists it as uncharacterized. The record is from RefSeq and is a predicted model, not a curated record. The transcript has 2 exons. Lineage: Eukaryota; Metazoa; Chordata; Mammalia; Carnivora; Felidae.
GGUCAAGACUCCCACACAUACACCAAGGGUGUAAGAAGAUCCUGGCAGAUCAUAUGGUGAUGGGGAACAUUAAGGGUACACAAAGAUAAGGAAACAAAUCAGUAACCUGUUAUUGGAAUGUGGACACAAGGUUAAGUAAUGAGAGGAACACAAUGAGUCAUCUACUAUGAGCAGUAGCUGACAUGGGGCUCGGCUAUUAACUGUGAACUCCAAAAAACUAAGUAGUUCCAGGCUUAACCCCCAUGGCUGAAGGACAAUGAAGAGGGUACUAAAAUAAUGACUGCAUAAUUAAUAGUAUUGCCCACUGAAAAAUGCCCAGAUCAUAGGAGUCACUAGGAGAGUCCCCCACAUGCACAUUUUUAAUGUUUAUAUGCAAUAAAUAUUCCUUGAAAGCCUUCUCUGUAUCAGAUGCUAUGCUGGUGCUGUAUAUUCAAUCCUGAACACGACACAAGCCCUACUUUGAGAGUCUAAUGACAGAGGGUGCUGGGACUCCUUCAUUCCUGUUGUAUCUCUAUUGUGACCCUCAUUACACCAGCUCCCAUUACUGUCUUAAGAGGUAGGACUUUUUAGACCUGAUUGUACUUUAGGAAGGAGGGAAGGAAUCUCUAAACCAAACCCUAAUCUCAGCUCCUUCUCUUGAGUAAGAGCUCUGGUGGAGGGUAAGGGAGCGGCAACUAACCCCAAAGUGAAGGCAGCCAUCACCUAAUCUCAGUCAUCACCAUUUGGGGCAGCCUGAAGCCCUGUCAGGAUGAGGAAUGUCCUAACAGGUCUCCCAGAUGGAAAGCAGCACAGGCUGUCAAGGGCCAGUUAGGUAUAAACUGGUUACCACAUCAAGACAGAGUAAGCACACAAGACUGACCAGGACUGGGUCAAGAACACUGAGUAAGUCAUGUGCUCAUCAUCCUGGGAAAGAUGGCUUCAAGGAGGAUGGCUGAGAAGGAAGAAGAGCUCAGAAAGAUCUGCUUCUUUAGAAAGGCAAAAAGCCAUGUGGAUUGUUCAAGUGAGGUCUUGACAGUUGGGCCUUUCUCCCUCUGUGGAACCUCUUUAGGCCUAAAGAUUCUAAACCAACUGCAGUGAGGCCCCUUAAGAAGGAGCCCUUCUCAGCAAAGACCUGCCUCCACUGUUGAUAUCAGAGUUGGGAAACUAUGAUCUCUGGGAAUAUUAGUCACUUGUGUGAUGUGGUAGCUAAUCAGCUGGUCCUCCUUCAGGAGGAGACUGAGGGUUAGGGCUGAGAUAGAUACUUCCCAUAUAUUCUGCUCUCACUUUGGCUGUUGAAAAUUUGGAGGACAGAGCUAAACACCUGAAAUAAAUUGUAUAGCAGGAAUCCCAGAGGAGGAGACAUUUGGGGCCAGGAUGACCUCCCUGACCCCUUCAGAUGUUCACAGAAGCAGAAAUUCAAAAUACUCUCUUAAUCCACUGUGCACACAUUCAUGUAGUGUAACUUAAAGGCUAAUAGAUUUGCUUUCCUUGGUUCCUUAUUCUAAGUUUGGAAAGGCAAAUAUCAAAAAUGAGAUUUCUAAUGAUUUUUUUUACUAAAAUGUAAUUUUAUCUUGUCAGCUUUUUUUUUUACUUGACUACUACUUUUGAAAUAAUCCUGACAUUGAUUUACAUUUGAUCAUCAUCUCCAGUUUUAAGUUUCCCUCAUGUUACUGUUUGCCAUCAGCCAGGUCCCUUUCAACAACAUACUUGUAGCCACAGAGGAGUUUAUUGGCCAGUAAAAAAAUACUCUUCGAAAGUACAUUCAAACCACCUCCAAUCCAUAUUAUGUUUCAGAUUUCCUAAACUUGGGGGUGAAAUUUUUUCUGAAGAUCAAAAGUUAUCAUAAAAACUGAAGCCAUGUUAAGAUUACAAAGCUGGUUGGUUCCUGUGCUCUAGGACUUGCCAGAGAGAUUCAUGAUCUGAUCCAGUUUGAAAUCUGAAGUGAAGGAAUGCCACACCCAAAUGAGCUUUCUUCUCUCUGUUGUCCCCAUACAGAAAGAGGUCAAUUUCUCUGCAAUUCUUAGCACUUCAAUCUAUGAAAUCAUGGGGUUUAUUUCCAGGGUACUAAUAAAACCAUUACUUUAAGGGAAGGCUGUUUCCAACAAGACUAUAUGAAAACUUUCUACAAAUAGGCCAAUGUGUUCAUUGUUCAGAGCACUACUGAUUCAUUUCUGUCUCAGGGCCUUUGCUGUCUAUUCCCAUGAUAUGGAAUGCCUUUGCCCUGGUCUCCUGCUGAGACCAAACUCUAUUUCAAUCUUCAAGGCCUAACUUAAGAUGCACCUUCUCCCAAAAAAAUUCUCUUGGUCUUUAUCAACCUGCCCUCCCCCUCUUGUCUCCACCCCUAACCUGCUCAAAUAUAUUUCUUGUGGCAGGUGAUAUCCCAUGACAUAGCAUUCAGUACAGAAAAGGGCUAGAAGUACAGUAAGACAGCUUGAUUGAGGAGGUCUCAGACUUCUGACAAUGGAAGUAUGGCCAGGUGCAGCUUAGUUCAUGUAGUUUGGGGAAAAACAGACCUGCCCAGGACUGAAUCCUCACUCUUACACUUACUAGCUAUGUAGCCUCAGGCAGAUUACUUUCCUUCCCUGGGCUGCAGUGUCCCUUUCAAAAAUGCCAUGGGGUUGCUUCCAGGCUAAAAUUGGUUUAGGUGACGACCACUUUCCUAAACAUUGGAGCUACAAAGUUGAGUAAGGUAAAGCCCUGAUCUUGAAAAAGAGCUCAGAGUCUACAGACAAGCUAUUUGCAAUAGUUUCAGGCUCUUUGAGGGAAACAGUUAAGAGGUGUCAUGGGAAUAGUAAACUGAAAGCAGUAGGGAGUAGGGGAGAAACUGUGGAGUCUGAAGUGAUACCAGAAUUGCAGAUCUGUGCUGAAAGCUGGAAAACAGUGACAGUAGUAGGAAUGGAAGUGGAAGGAAGGAAUGGAGAAAAGGAAGAUUUGAGAGACAUUCCAAGUAAAGCAAAAUUACAGGCCUUGGCGCAUUUCAGACUUAAGAAGAUAGAGGAGAUUGGUGACGAAUCUUGACCAAAUUUCUAGCUAAGGAGACAGACACAGGCACCGAUAGAAAUGGAGUUAACUGGUUUGGGUAGUGGAAGAGAUCAACCUCUGCAGACAGCAGAUAUGUCUCACAAACAACUGAUGCCAAUCUUGAAGUCCAACAGCUUCUUUUUUCACAAGCCUACUGAGUCCUCUUCCUCACCCCACCUCCAUCCCACUUGAUUUUACUGAGAAAGUUCACUGGUACGUUGAAAAGUCAACUAGGUUUGCGAAACCUAGGCAAACAGCAUGAACAACUAAUAAGAAGUACACUCCCCAUGCAUCUUUUUUAUUGGCUCUACUUGACUUUUAAAGUUAAAAUGACGUUAGCCUAGGAUAGCCCAGGUGUCUCUUGACCAUUCCUCCAAGAUUACAAAUAUCCAACUAUCCUCUGAAGCUGCCCAUGUAGAGCAAGGCAGUCUGGUCCGUUACAAUUGGAGGAUGGUACUUCCACAUUCUGAACCAGUAACUGUCACCCAGGACCAGCCAGAACCUGCUUUCUGUGGAACCCCCAACCUCCUCCUUUCCACCUCAGACACUGAGCAUGCUCACUGCAGAUUAAGAAGGUGAUUCCUCAUAUAGUCCCUAGUUUAUAGAGAUCAAAAACAAAAAUGUAAUGCAUGCCUUUCCUUUGAUCCAACAAUUAUAGAAAUGUAUACUAAGGAAAUAAUCAGAAGUGCACAUAAAUAAAUGGCUGCAAAGAUAUCUUUUGAGGUAUCCCUUUGGAUUGGGGGGGGGACAGAAAAUGCAGGGACAUUCUGAAUGCAAAACAAUAAGGGAGUAUUUCAAUAAGUUGCCACAUAUCCACAGAAGGGAAUAUUAUACAGAAUUUAAAAUAUUAUAAAGACAUUUUAAUGGCAUGGGAAAAUAUUUAAAAUACAUUUUAAUUAGCAAAAAAAGAGAACUACAUAUAACUCUGUUCUCAAUUUUGUAACAUACCCCCCCACACACACAUGCCUUAUAUACAUAAAGAAACACAAACACAUACAUACACACACAUAGCCAAAGAAAAAUAACCUGGGAGGUUAUUACUAUUAUCUCUAGGUGGAGAUGACUAAAUAAUUUUAAAUUAUUUUUUAUUUUCUUCUUUGUACUUUUCUGUAUUUUCCAAUUAUCUUUGAAAUCUUUUGUAAUCAAGAAAAAAAAUUCUCAAAAUAAAGGGAAAUGGGCCAUGAAAUAGGCCAUGACUUGAAGGGAAGAAACCUGUAGAGAUGAUAUGUAAGCCAUGGAGCAUUUAUUCCUUCCAUACUUCAGGGGAUAUUUUUUUCUUUCCUGAACACGAGAUGGCCAGUCUUUCCAUCUCUUACCAUAAAAUGCCUGACAGCUUAGAUUUCAAAGCUUUUCUUUAAAGCUCAGAGCUUCUCUCAAUAAAACCUAUAUUCCUCCAUGCCUAGGCAAUAAAUGGCCACAAGAAUCUACUAGGUAUUUGGAAACAAUCAUUUCUCUUUUCUUUAUAUUGACUGGAUUAACUUUUGCCAAGAGACAAAUGAUCUGCCUGGAUCACUCAGUUCCUUAUUCUUUGAUUUAAUUAGGGAUUAGAUGGUAAUAGACUGGAAAUAAAUUCUUUUCAUUGACCUAAAUUAACUUGGCUUUUGAAAUAUGGCAUAGUCUCAACAAUUAUCUGAAAGGAAAAAAUACAUAUAUAAUAACCCAUUACAUGCAGGAAACUGUACCAAUCCAACCACUUAAACAUGUCUCAUUAACACCAUCUGUAAUAAAUACUCCCAACUCUUUGAGUAAUGGAAGCCAUUUCUGUCCAUAAGAUAAAGGAAUAAGGAAAGGUGGUGGGAAGGAAUUCCCUUCCCAACAAGUAUUUUUGGGUAGGAAUCUAUUUUUGUAUCAAGAUCAUUUGUUGGCCAAGUCUUGUUUCUUGUUUGACAGACCUACUUCCCACCAUGUGCCUCUGUCCUCUGCAGUAUAGCUUCCACACAGUGAUGGGAUUUCUCUCCCUAAAACCCUCCAUUUAGUAUAUUCAUCUCUCCUCACAACUUACAUUUUUAUAGAAAAUUGUGGUUUGCAAAGGCUUUCACACAAAAGAUGUUGUGUGAUCUUUAGAAAAACUCUAGAAGACAAGAAUUUUACAGAUGAAGAAACUAAGUUCAGAGAGAUUGUUACUUGUCCAGAUACUCCUGCUAGUAAGAAGUGGUUAUCAGAUGAAAACUUCCAUUUUCUAGCAUGUGAUUGAUUGUUUCAUCUGUCAAUAAUCCUGAUAAUACCAAUUUGUCUUGAUGUUGAGUUUUAAGACAUUUUCUCAUCCAUAUGCAUUUAACCACUUCCACACUGCCUCUCGAUAAUGAUUAGUGUGUAUGCUGUGUACCUAAUCUCAAAUUCAUUUUAAUGAAAAUCAUUCUUGGAGGAUGGCACAAAGGACAUUACCUAGAACAAGCCAGCGUGUAGACAUUCAACCCAUUGAAGCCGUCUGGGUAAGAUGUACUUCAUUCGCCAGAACUGUUGGAUAACCUAGGGAGCUUAAGGUACCUGAUCUUGUCUCCAGACAUAGCCUUUGCUCUCCCAGGCCUUUUUUCUUUUCUGAGUUCUGACUCUGGUAUGGCCCUUACUGACAUAGUUGGUAUGAUCUCCUGCAGCAGGUAACUUGCUAUCCUGUAACAUGCUAUUUUUAGAUUUGUAAUAAUCUCCCCACACCCCACUCACUUACUCCAUGUUUUGCCCACAUCCUACUACAUGCACACAUACACACAAAGACAUGCCCUAGACUAUAUAGUUGCCCUGAGAGGAGAUACGGGUCUUACCCUUCUUACUGUAUCUUCCUAUUGCCAAUAGAUGCCUAAAAUUUUUUGCUAUGUUAAAUUGAUCACUAUAUUUUUAAAUUAGAGUGUCUACUAGAAAGUACAGCUAUGCAAUUAUAAUUGUAUAUUUUAUGACCCACUCUUUCCCCUACCUGCCUCUAUUUCCUUUUUCUUACACCACAAAUCCUUUCAUUUAUUUUAAUACCUUUCAGCAAAUAACUUUAUAUUUUAUUUCAUGGGAUGGUGAUCAUAAGGCCUCUAACUUACUUCAGCCUAAGACUCUAACAUUUGAAUUAGCCUGGGAAAAGUUUGGGAAAUCACUAUUUAUUCUAUGCUUCUCAUUCAAUUUCUCUAGGCAAAAUAUCCUCUACUCUUUAAAAAGUGUAUUCACUUCUAAAUGACGAUACAAAUUUCAUUUUUCGAGGUCAAACUAGCCCAAUUCAAUAUUCUUUGUUGUUGUGCUCAAUUAUAAAAUGGAAAGAUUGGAAGAAAAUACAAUUUUAUUAUAUAACAUAAUAACAUGAGCUAGGCUAGAAAUAUUGUUUACCAUGUCCUGAUCACGUUUUCAAGAUUUUUUUUAAACAGCUUGACAAUAUUUAAUUUUGUUAGUAGAACGCGUGGUCUGGAUUAUUUCUUUUUUGAAAUGUGGAUGGAUCUGGUAACUAAGGCAUCUUAGAAGGUGAGUAUUACAUUUAAAGUCAUGUUACAGGACUAGGGAAACAAUCUCUUUGACAUAGGACCCCAUAUUUUAGAUACCACCAUACAGGGUUGGUUGGGGACAACUUCAAGAGGGAUGCUAGCAUGUGUGUUCCCCCCUAAUAAACACUCAAACACUCACUAUCUCUAGGCAGAAUGAGAUUCUUUAACAAAACAUGGAUAAAGCACUUAAUGCAAACUGUAAAAUGUUUAGCCUAUAAUUUUCAUUAAUUACUGUCUCCAAUACAGAGUGCUGCUGGGAAAUUAAAACGUAAAAGCAAUGCUUUUUUUUCCUUGUAUUUAUUGAGCAAGAAAAAGAAAUGGAACAAUAAGAGAUACACUAAGGAAAAGUUAGUUCCCUGUUCAUAAUAUAUUAAAGGCAGUAUUUUAAGGAUGCUUCCUCAUUCCUUGUGGGCCAGUCCUUUCCCUGAACACAGAAUAAGCACAGCCCGCACUUCCAUAAAUGUUGUCUAGCUUUCACCAAUAGCCCCCAUAUAUCUCGGCCUAUUCUGCCACAGCCUUUCUUUUAAAAUAGCUAAAUUCAUUAGGGAUUUCGGGAGGAAGUCAUGUCACAUUGAGACAAGUGAGUUUAUGGUUUCCAAAAAUAAAACAAAGUAUGGACAAAUGUGUUGGCAAUGGAGAAAGGGUUAUCUGCGGUACGAGAUUUCCAAGGUCUGAGCCUGAAAACUAUGAACUCUAAUUAUACUCUGAUUGCCACCCAGGAAAAUCCAUCUUUUCCCCUGUGUUUCACUGAUACUCUAAAAUUGAAGUAUUGUAUAGACAAAAGAAUACUGAGUUCUAUGAAGUAAAGGGAUUAUAUAAUUAACAGUGCUUGAGAAAUUAUUAUUACAUUCUACCCCUCCCCCAAAUCACGGAUCCCAGACAUUUCUAUGCCCAGUCCCCCUUAGUAACUUUACCACUUGCUGUUCACAUCUUCUAAACUCUCUGCCUAGUUUUCCUCCUGGCCAUGACUGAUGUAUUUCUUUGUCCUGGAGGCAAAGAGCCAUGUUACAUAUUCCUUUAAACUUUUACACCAUUUUGGGGCCCUGCAAUUUUUUUUUAUAAGAAUCUCCCAAGUUUCCUCAUUCUUUGCCUCAUUGUGACCUCUUCUUGGAUUCAUGAUCUUUUCCAACCUUACAGAGGGAGCAGCCUCCUUCCUUAGCAUCCAUGUGUCAGUUUUGGUUUUUGUUUGUUGGUAAUACUACCUUUUGCUCAAUGUUCCUUGACGUCUCCUUGUGAAGAGAAUACACAGAGCCCAGACAAGCUUCUACUGCUGUACAAAUGGUUUCAAAAUCUGAAAGAUCUGGAUUCAAAUCAUGGUUCUAAAACUAGAAUACUGGCCUUUCCGUCUUUGGUCACAAAAGGAGAGCUUAAACAGAGAUGCUGAGAAGGCAAGUAUAGCAGAGAAUGUGAAGAAAUCCCCGCCAUGGUACCCACAGCAGAUGUUUUCGAAGUUUGGGGAUGGUGAAGGACCCAGGGGACGGUGCCAAGGAGCAGCACGAGGUGCCGUGUGAUAAAUGGAGCUGUCUCUUUCCCAUUACAGGAACAUAGCAAGUUUCAAGAGCAAAUCAGAAACCUAGAAUGAUUAAUUGUGUAGUCUACAACGAGUCCUGUUGUGUUUGUCUAUGAAUCCCUUUGCUCUGAAGAUCAGACACACCAGGUGCAGAGAAACACCUGGCUAUGAUGAACCCUGUGAGUUUCUUAGUAACCCACUCCAAAAAAAAGGGGAACAGUGGUUUUGUUUACAGGUGAACAGUAGGAAGGGGAUCAAAGCUGGUGAGAAAACUGAAAUGGUGGAGUAAGAACAAAAGCAUCCCUUUAACAUCAAGCCAAGCGCUGUCAUAUCUCUGGCUUAGCUUCCUCUUUCUCUAUACCUGCUUGGCAUCAAUGAGGAACAAAGUAUUUUAAGGAAGUCAUAACUUCGUUCUUACUUAUUCCCACCCACCGAUUCCGCUGUCACCUCACAGUCACCUUUGCAUAUGACCUAAGGCAGUUUCAGCUGAGCGUUAGCAGUGAAGAGCAUAGCCAUUGAGCACACCGGUUUCUGGGCCCAAACCCCCAUUUUACUACCCAUGUGACAUGGCACAAAUUAUCGAAAGUCUCUGUGCUUCACCAUCUGCCCAAAUAUGAUAUAACGUUAAUAAUACCCACCUAGGAAUUCUUAUCUAAGUAAAGUACACAAGAAUGUAAGAUGCCUGAAACAAUCAGUAAAUAGUAGCUAUUGUUGUUAAACAAGAUGGCCAGGGAGAUUACUGUUAUUUUUCUUUAAAGUGUAACCAGCACGUUAACAAUACUGUUUGCAUACUAAAUGAGUGUGUCAAUUACACAUAGUUAUUGACCCUUCCUUAAAGCUGAUGAGGUACACUAAUAUUUAGUUAGCUAAUUUUGUUGAACUGUAGAGGCAGCAUGGCUUGGUGGAAAGAUCUAGAUUCAAAUGCCAGCUCUAUUGUUCACUAAUUGGAAGCCUUAAAAAAAAAAGAAAGGUGUUUAAUCUCUCGAUGCCUCAUCUGUUCUUUAAAAAGUGAGAAGAAAAAUACUUCAUUUUCAGGGUGGUAGUAAGAACUAAAUGAGAGAAUGCAAAUGCCUAGUGCAUAAUAGGUGUCUGUAAUAAAGGACCGUUGACAAGACAGCACACAUUUACCUUACAGCAAUAAAAGUGCUCUCCAUUUUUAAUACC